Molecule: ribosomal RNA, 494 nt
Filed under: uncultured bacterium
Lineage: Bacteria
Description: partial 16S ribosomal RNA
Rfam family: Bacterial small subunit ribosomal RNA
Source: RNAcentral
AUGAACGCUGGCGGCGUGCCUAAUACAUGCAAGUCGAGCGAACGGACGAGAAGCUUGCUUCUCUGAUGUUAGCGGCGGACGGGUGAGUAACACGUGGAUAACCUACCUAUAAGACUGGGAUAACUUCGGGAAACCGGAGCUAAUACCGGAUAAUAUUUUGAACCGCAUGGUUCAAAAGUGAAAGACGGUCUUGCUGUCACUUAUAGAUGGAUCCGCGCUGCAUUAGCUAGUUGGUAAGGUAACGGCUUACCAAGGCAACGAUGCAUAGCCGACCUGAGGGUGAUCGGCCACACUGGAACUGAGACACGGUCCAGACUCCUACGGGAGGCAGCAGUAGGGAAUCUUCCGCAAUGGGCGAAAGCCUGACGGAGCAACGCCGCGUGAGUGAUGAAGGUCUUCGGAUCGUAAAACUCUGUUAUUAGGGAAGAACAUAUGUGUAAGUAACUGUGCACAUCUUGACGGUACCUAAUCAGAAAGCCACGGCUAACUACGUG